AUCGCCGCUGCCAACCUACCUAUCGCUGCCAACCUACCUAUCGCUGCCAAUCUACCUAUCGCUGCCAACCUACCUACUGCUGCCAAUCUAUCUAUCGCUGCUAAUCUAUCGCUGCUAAUCUAUCGCUGCUAAUCUAUCGCUGCUAAUCUAUCGCUGCUAAUCUAUCGCUGCUAAUCUAUCGCUGCUAAUCUAUCACUGCCAACCUACCUACUGCUGCCAACCUACCUACCGCUGCCAACCUAUCUACCGCUGCCAACCUAUCUAUCGCUGCUAAUCUAUCACUGCUAAUCUAUCGCUGCCAACCUACCUACCACUGCCAACCUAUCUAUCACUGCUAAUCUAUCACUGCUAAUCUAUCGCUGCUAAUCUAUCGCUGCUAAUCUAUCGCUGCUAAUCUAUCGCUGCUAAUCUAUCACUGCCAACCUACCUACCGCUGCCAACCUACCUACCGCUGCCAACCUACCUACCGCUGCCAACCUACCUACCGCUGCCAACCUAUCUAUCGCUGCUAAUCUAUCGCUGCUAAUCUAUUGCUGCUAAUCUAUCACUGCCAACCUACCUACUGCUGCCAACCUACCUACCGCUGCCAACCUACCUACCGCUGCCAACCUAUCUAUUGCUGCCAAUCUAUAUAGGGUAAAUCAUGGUCCCAUUUGGUCCCAUUUUGUAAAAUGGGACCAAAUGGAACCAGAAUCACUAAUUUAUUAGUAAAACAUGAUCUGGGACUAGAUUUAUAAUAUAAACAGUGUAAAGUGACUAAUUUGCUAAACACUAUAUGGGACCAGAACUAAGAUAUCUAAUAAUAAGACUGAGGAAAAAUUUGAUUCUAGUCCCAUACAUGGUCACACAGCCAGUCUAAAUAAUUGAAUCAAAAAUUAAAAAUGAUAUUUCUGUGGCAUAGUAUUAUAUUAUAGAAUGUUAGUUUACCACUUAACAACUCAAAAAUACCAUGAUCUAACUAGAUAUCUAUAUCAAAAACUUGUUUUAAAAUUAUC
Molecule: small RNA, 995 nt
Filed under: Histoplasma capsulatum
Lineage: Eukaryota; Fungi; Ascomycota; Eurotiomycetes; Onygenales; Ajellomycetaceae
Also listed under: 1 other name
Description: hypothetical RNA
Source: RNAcentral